This is a long non-coding RNA of Cebus imitator (Panamanian white-faced capuchin), 552 nucleotides long. RefSeq lists it as uncharacterized. NCBI's taxonomy places the organism in Eukaryota, Metazoa, Chordata, Mammalia, Primates, Cebidae. The record is from RefSeq and is a predicted model, not a curated record. The transcript is spliced from 3 exons.
AUGACUCGAAGCUCUGUCACGGCAUAAUCUCUUAUAAAUAAAUGUCAGUGUAGUCACUGAAUGCAGACUGGAUUUUUGCUUGACUACGGUGCUCAGCCUUCUAGACAAUAGUUAUGCUAAGGGAUUAUCUUUUAACAUAGUGCAGUUAUCUUCUUUGUUUGUUUUCUUUUUUCAUUAUUCACAUAAGCCAAGGGAAAUGAAAAGCAUCUUAUUUCAGGCAAAAAGGCCUGUGAAUGAUUAACUCUGGUUCCAUGCAUUGGGACUUUGCAUAGCAACCCCUUGGCUUGCAACGACAAAAAAGCUCAAGGCAGGAACAGCCGCCCAGGGACCUAAGACCAACGUUCUCAAAUGAAGGUGCUGUGUGUCUGUGAUCUGUCGAUGAGGGUAGCGAAGGACUACUCAAUCAAUUGGGGUGUACAAAGCGGAGUUUGAGACGGGCAUGCUGAUGCAAGAUGUGGGCUCCAUGGCCUCGGGCAGGUCUGCUCCUGUGGAUUUUCUGGGUACAGCCCUCCUUCCUGCUGCUUUCAUAGGCUGGUAAUGAGUGUCUGUGGC